RNAcentral lists this ribosomal RNA (496 nucleotides) under uncultured bacterium. RNAcentral describes it as "partial 16S ribosomal RNA". It matches the Rfam family "Bacterial small subunit ribosomal RNA", at positions 29 to 507 of the family's 1533-position model. The record is from RNAcentral.
AUGCACGCUGGCGGCGUGCCUAAUACCUGCCAGUCGAGCGAACAGACGAGGAGCUUGCUCCUCUGACGUUAGCGGCGGACGGGUGAGUAACACGUGGAUAACCUACCUAUAAGACUGGGAUAACUUCGGGAAACCGGAGCUAAUACCGGAUAACAUGUUGAACCGCAUGGUUCAACAGUGAAAGACGGUCUUGCUGUCGCUUAUAGAUGGAUCCGCGCCGCAUUAGCUAGUUGGUAAGGUAACGGCUUACCAAGGCAACGAUGCGUAGCCGACCUGAGAGGGUGAUCGGCCACACUGGAACUGAGACACGGUCCAGACUCCUACGGGAGGCAGCAGUAGGGAAUCUUCCGCAAUGGGCGAAAGCCUGACGGAGCAACGCCGCGUGAGUGAAGAAGGUCUUCGGAUCGUAAAACUCUGUUAUUAGGGAAGAACAAAUGUGUAAGUAACUAUGCACGUCUUGACGGUACCUAAUCAGAAAGCCACGGCUAACUACGUG